RNAcentral lists this microRNA precursor (99 nucleotides) under Marmota monax (woodchuck). Lineage: Eukaryota; Metazoa; Chordata; Mammalia; Rodentia; Sciuridae. The record is from RNAcentral.
AGUGGGAUAGCUGGGUCAAAUGUUCCAUUCCAGGUUUUCUAAGGACUCUCCAUACUGCUUUCCAGAUUGGUUGUAUCAGUUUGCAGUCCCACCAGCAAA